Molecule: ribosomal RNA, 253 nt
Filed under: uncultured bacterium
Lineage: Bacteria
Description: partial 16S ribosomal RNA
Rfam family: Bacterial small subunit ribosomal RNA
Source: RNAcentral
UACGUGGGGGGUAAGCGUUGUUCGGAAUUACUGGGCGUAAAGGGCUCGUAGGCGGCCAACUAAGUCGGACGUGAAAUCCCUCAGCUUAACUGGGGAACUGCGUCCGAUACUGGAUGGCUUGGAUUUGGGAGAGGGAUGCGGAAUUCCAGGUGUAGCGGUGAAAUGCGUAGAUAUCUGGAGGAACACCGGUGGCGAAGGCAGCUCGCUGGGACGGUACUGACGCUGAGGCGCGAAAGCGUGGGGAGCAAACAGG